Molecule: ribosomal RNA, 514 nt
Filed under: uncultured bacterium
Lineage: Bacteria
Description: bacterial SSU rRNA
Rfam family: Bacterial small subunit ribosomal RNA
Source: RNAcentral
CCUUCGGGUUGUAAACCUCUUUCAGCAGGGAAGAAGCGGUCGGGUUUUCCUGGUCGUGACGGUACCUGCAGAAGAAGCACCGGCUAACUACGUGCCAGCAGCCGCGGUAAUACGUAGGGUGCGAGCGUUGUCCGGAAUUAUUGGGCGUAAAGAGCUUGUAGGCGGUUUGUCGCGUCUGCUGUGAAAUUUCGGGGCUCAACCCCGAACUUGCAGUGGGUACGGGCAGACUAGAGCGUGGUAGGGGAGACUGGAAUUCCUGGUGUAGCGGUGAAAUGCGCAGAUAUCAGGAGGAACACCGAUGGCGAAGGCAGGUCUCUGGGCCACUACUGACGCUGAGAAGCGAAAGCAUGGGGAGCGAACAGGAUUAGAUACCCUGGUAGUCCAUGCCGUAAACGUUGGGAACUAGGUGUGGGCCUCACUCCACGAGGUCCGUGCCGCAGCUAACGCAUUAAGUUCCCCGCCUGGGGAGUACGGCCGCAAGGCUAAAACUCAAAGGAAUUGACGGAAUCGAAUU